This 253-nucleotide ribosomal RNA is filed under the name uncultured bacterium. RNAcentral describes it as "partial 16S ribosomal RNA". It matches the Rfam family "Bacterial small subunit ribosomal RNA", at positions 524 to 776 of the family's 1533-position model. The record is from RNAcentral.
UACGAAGGGGGCUAGCGUUGUUCGGAAUUACUGGGCGUAAAGCGCGCGCAGGCGGCUAUCCAAGUCAGUGGUGAAAGCCCGGAGCUCAACUCCGGAACUGCCAUUGAAACUGUUUAGCUUGAGGACGAGAGAGGUGAGUGGAAUUCCCAGUGUAGAGGUGAAAUUCGUAGAUAUUGGGAAGAACACCGGUGGCGAAGGCGGCCAACUGGACCAUUUCUGACGCUGAGGCGCGAAAGCGUGGGGAGCAAACAGG